Molecule: ribosomal RNA, 258 nt
Filed under: uncultured bacterium
Lineage: Bacteria
Description: partial 16S ribosomal RNA
Rfam family: Bacterial small subunit ribosomal RNA
Source: RNAcentral
ACGAACGCUGGCGGCGUGCUUAACACAUGCAAGUCGAACGGUAAGGCCCUUUCGGGGGUACGACGAGUGGCGAACGGGUGAGUAACACGUGGGUAAUCUGCCCUGCACUUCGGGAUAAGCCUGGGAAACCGGGUCUAAUACCGGAUAUGAGCUCCUGCCGCAUGGUGGGGGUUGGAAAGUUUUUCGGUGCAGGAUGAGUCCGCGGCCUAUCAGCUUGUUGGUGGGGUAAUGGCCUACCAAGGCGACGACGGGUAGCCG